Panonychus citri (citrus red mite) is the source of this 992-nucleotide long non-coding RNA. RefSeq lists it as uncharacterized. The record is from RefSeq and is a predicted model, not a curated record. The transcript is spliced from 3 exons. NCBI's taxonomy places the organism in Eukaryota, Metazoa, Arthropoda, Arachnida, Trombidiformes, Tetranychidae.
ACUAAAUUCAGUGUAUUUAACUUAAGUGGAUUAAUUGACGUCUUUUAUUGAUUUUCUGAAGUGAAUUUUAAAAUCGAAGUUAUUUCAAUUUCUAUUCUCUGUUGUAAUUGGCUGGUUUUCUCUUGUUGUUAAGGGAACUCAUUGAACACAUGAUUCCAGGGCAAUGGGAACGUUUGGUUGAGGUCACUUUGUAUUCGGACGAAGACCACACGACGAUCAACAUGUUGGUUACUCUAUUUUGGGACGAUCAAUUUUAUUUCCAAUGAAUAGUUUACAUUUUGACCAAUUGAUGAAUAUGAAGGAAACACUGGAAUCCUGGUGAUGAGGUUGAUUGAUAUUCGUGAAGUUUUGGUGAAUUCAAAUUAUGAUCUCUCUUAAUGUUCCAGUUGCUGUGAGAUGAUGUUUAAUUAUAUCACUUUGUGAUUAAGUUCGAUUUGGAUUGGAAUUGUUCAAUUCUGUUCUUCGAUCAUUUCUGGAACACGAAAAACUGAUGCAUACUAAUGAUUAGCAACUGAAUUAAUAAUUGUAAUGAUAAUCUUGUCAAUAUGAAUCUCUUACCGGUACACAAGAUCAAUUGUCCAUUUGAAUUCAAUCGACAAUCAUAUGGAAAUGUUUUCCCCGUUGUCGAUUGUUGUUCAUUGUUCGAGUCUGAAAUCGGAAUGAAAAGUAACAAUUCAAGAGAAUUUCAGAAUCUCAUCCAUCUUAUACUCGAGACUUUCCCGAAUCUCUUUCUACUAAAUAUAAUUGAUUUAAUUUAGUUCGAAAUCAUCUUACCUGAUCUCUCUCUCCUCAGAUUGUUUACAAAAAGUCGCCUAACAUUUGGAUCUACUCUUCCAUAUCUUCCGUUCAUGAAGAACAUACUUCGUUCCUUGGCUUCUGAAACUUUCCAAAUUGCGAUUAAAAGGACCAUCGAUAAAACGAUUGUUUGACUCAAUCCGAAUAACUUUCUGCUGGAUGAUAACAUAUUGAUCUUUUCUGAUGAUUUAUUCCUG